Paramuricea clavata is the source of this 860-nucleotide non-coding RNA. Lineage: Eukaryota; Metazoa; Cnidaria; Anthozoa; Malacalcyonacea; Plexauridae. The record is from the annotation of a GenBank genome assembly.
CGCAAAUAUCGUUUGUUGCAAACAUCACAUUCAUAAGGUUUCUCUCCAGUGUGUGUUCUUUUAUGUUUAGUUAGGGUGCUUGGGUCAGAAAAUCUUUUGUUGCAAACAUCACAUUCAUACGGUUUCUCUCCAGUGUGUGUUCUUUUAUGUUUAGUUAGGGUGCUUGGGUCAGAAAAUCUUUUGUUGCAAACAUCACAUUCAUAAGGUUUCUCUCCAGUGUGUGUUCUUUUAUGUUUAGUUAGGGUGCUUGGGUCAGAAAAUCUUUUGUUGCAAACAUCACAUUCAUAAGGUUUCUCUCCAGUGUGUGUUCUUUUAUGUUUAGUUAGGGUGCUUGGGUCAGAAAAUCUUUUGUUGCAAACAUCACAUUCAUACAGUUUCUCUCCAGUGUGUGUUCUUUUAUGUUUAGUUAGGGUGCUUGGGUCAGAAAAUCUUUUGUUGCAAACAUCACAUUCAUAAGGUUUCUCUCCAGUGUGUGUUCUUUUAUGUUACCGCUAAGUGGCUUGACCGCGUGUUCUUUUAUGUUUAGUUAGGGUGCUUGGGUCAGAAAAUCUUUUGUUGCAAACAUCACAUUCAUAAGGUUUCUCUCCAGUGUGUGUUCUUCUAUGAACCCGCUAAGUGGCUUGACCGCAAAGAUCUCUUGUUGCAAACAUCACAUUCAUAAGGUUUGUCUCCAGUGUGUGUUCUCUUAUGAACCACCAAUUCGCUUGGUCUUACCCAUUCGCUUGGUCGUAAAAAUCUGUUGUUGCAAACAUCGCAUUCAUAAGGUUUGUCUCCAGUGUGUGUUCUCUUAUGACCUGCUAAGUGGCUUGACUGCGAAAAUCUUUUGUUGCAAACAUCACAUUCAUAAGGUUUGUCUCCAG